AGAGUUUCGAUCCUGGCUCAGAGCGAACGCUGCGGCAGGCUUAACACAUGCAAGUCGAGCGGGCAUAGCAAUAUGUCAGCGGCAGACGGGUGAGUAACGCGUGGGAACGUACCUUUUGGUUCGGAACAACACAGGGAAACUUGUGCUAAUACCGGAUAAGCCCUUACGGGGAAAGAUUUAUCGCCGAAAGAUCGGCCCGCGUCUGAUUAGCUAGUUGGUGAGGUAAUGGCUCACCAAGGCGACGAUCAGUAGCUGGUCUGAGAGGAUGAUCAGCCACAUUGGGACUGAGACACGGCCCAAACUCCUACGGGAGGCAGCAGUGGGGAAUAUUGGACAGUGGGCGCAAGCCUGAUCCAGCCAUGCCGCGUGAGUGAUGAAGGCCCUAGGGUUGUAAAGCUCUUUUGUGCGGGAAGAUAAUGACGGUACCGCAAGAAUAAGCCCCGGCUAACUUCGUG
This 455-nucleotide ribosomal RNA is filed under the name uncultured Bradyrhizobium sp. RNAcentral's name for it is "bacterial SSU rRNA". It matches the Rfam family "Bacterial small subunit ribosomal RNA", at positions 8 to 507 of the family's 1533-position model. The record is from RNAcentral. Lineage: Bacteria; Pseudomonadati; Pseudomonadota; Alphaproteobacteria; Hyphomicrobiales; Nitrobacteraceae.